CCACGCUAUGCUGACGCCCUGUCGGAUAACUGCUUACUGCCGUUAUGCGCGUACCCCUGCAGAAUCCCCACUACUGACCUUCCUCCUGAAAUACCCUAACCUCUCCUCACUCUAGCUCUUUACACUAUUUCAGCGCCCCCGUCCGAAAAAUCUAGCAAAGAAAAUGCUAACAAUCCCGGAGCCCCUGCUCGGGCGCCAUCUGUAAGGUAGUCUUUUCG
Molecule: long non-coding RNA, 218 nt
Filed under: Drosophila guanche
Lineage: Eukaryota; Metazoa; Arthropoda; Insecta; Diptera; Drosophilidae
Source: RNAcentral